RNAcentral lists this long non-coding RNA (752 nucleotides) under Chlamydomonas reinhardtii. RNAcentral's name for it is "long non-coding RNA (CREI_LNC000177)". The record is from RNAcentral. Lineage: Eukaryota; Viridiplantae; Chlorophyta; Chlorophyceae; Chlamydomonadales; Chlamydomonadaceae.
GUCCAUUAGACUAUUAACGUCCACGACUCAACCUUGCAACUCCAGCGCGCUCAUCACCCGCGUUCUGUCGGUGUCAAUGCUAGCUCAUCCUAACACCCGGUCACUUCCCCAGCGGCCAAAGCUGGCUCUCUCGCGGCACCAGGGAGCGCCCGGCUGCUCAGCGCUUCACCAUGCGCUGUGGCCCCAUGCCUUCUGACGCCUUCCCCGCCUUGCCCUCGCUGCCCUCCUCUGACUCCUACUCAGCCCUCUACUUCUUCUCCGCCAGACACUGCAGCGCCAGGUCGCGCUCCUCCACCAGCUCCGCCUCGGUCACACGCAGGCGCUCGCGCGAGGGGCCGUCGAUGGGUAGACCUGCGCCGCGGGGGAAGGAGGGCGUCAAAUCAUGAUACCGUAUCGCAGGCAUUGCUGACUAGGCUAGCUUUAAGACGUCGCAUGCUCGUGGGGGGUUCAACAGGUCCGCGGAUGUGCGCAGCGAGCGCCUGAAGCCGCGAGCACGAGCAUGCAACUUCUCCUACCCCGCGUGAAAAACCUUGCCACAGAGGUGACGUGCCGACAAGCCAAACACCCUCGCAGCCGCCCCCGAACGCAGCGACUCACCCUGAACCACCUUCCACUUGCCGCCCGCGCAGGUGACGGGGUAGGAGUACACCAGGCCGCGCUGCACGCCGUAGGAGCCGUCACUAACCACGCCCAUGGACGUCCAGCUGCCGCCGGGCGUGCCGCGGACCCAGUCGCGCACGUGGUUGCACACG